Long non-coding RNA from Oncorhynchus tshawytscha (Chinook salmon), 1568 nucleotides. The record is from Ensembl. Lineage: Eukaryota; Metazoa; Chordata; Actinopteri; Salmoniformes; Salmonidae.
GUGUGUGUGUGUGUGUGAGCGUGUGCGUGUGCGUGUGCGUGUGUGUGUGAUUGUAGCAACUACAGUGACUGGUGUUAAAUUAAAGGCCAUAGAGGCAUAGGCCAUAGAGGAUGAAAUAGAUCAAUAGUGCUCAGUUACGGGUUGAGUGUUGGGAUCAAACACUAAAUAAAACAGUGCUGAAUUAUGUCUUUCUGUCCAGCUUCAUUGUCUACAAUUGGCAUAGCUUUUUGGUUCUGCUGUGUGCAAUUAAUAUGAUGUCAGAAUUACCAUUGACUGUUGUUCCUCAAGCACCUUAUCCAUGGAACCCCCUCAAAGCAGAAACACAUUUACACAAGGAUCAGUUUUAAUUUACAAUGAUAAGAAAUGUCUUUAGGCCUACUGCUAUUAGGAGCCUCAUCAUGUAAGCUGGGCCUGAUGAUUUUUUAAUGUGUCUUUCAUCACAGUGUGCUACGAUGGGGAUGUGGCUGGGCUGGGGACAGUGCUGCUACAGGGACAGGGAGAGGCUGAACUCUGUAACAACAGAUGUAACCUUGGGAACAUCCGAAGAGGAUUCUGGCUGAGAACUGAGACAGGAAUAGGACUAUCCAGGACACCUACAGCCUCUGGUGUUCACAGAAAGGCCCAAGAAGAUCAUCAAGGACCUCAGCCAUCCGAGCCACGGUCUGUUCACCAUGCUACUAGAAGGUGAAGGCAGUACAACUGCAUCAACGCUGGGACCGAGAGACUGAGAAACAGCUUCUAUCUCCAGUCACCACCUAGCCGGCCUCCACUCAGUACCCUGACCUGAAUCUUAGUCACUGUUACUAGCCGGCUACCACCCGGUACUCUACUCUGCACCUUAGAGACUGUUGCCCUAUGUACAUAGUCAUUGAAUACUGGUCACUUUAAUAAUGUUUACAUUACUGUUUUACCCACUUCAUAUGUAUAUACUGUAUUCUAGUUCAUCCUAUAUAACUACUGCUGUCCACUUCAUAUGUAUAUACUGUAUUCUAGUUCAUCCUAUAUAACUACUGCUGUCCACUUCAUAUGUAUAUACUGUAUUCUAGUUCAUCCUAUAUAACUACUACUGUCCACUUCAUAUGUAUAUACUGUAUUCUAGUCAAGGAUCAUCCUAUAUAACUACUGCUGUCUACUUCAUAUGUAUAUACUGUAUUCUAGUUCAUCCUAUAUAACUACUGCUGUCCACUUCAUAUGUAUAUACUGUAUUCUAGUUCAUUCUAUAUAACUACUGCUGUCCACUUCAUAUGUAUAUACUGUAUUCUAGUCAAGGAUCAUCCUAUACAACUACUGCUGUCCACUUCAUAUGUAUCUACUGUAUUGUAGUCAAGGAUCAUCCUAUAUAACUACUGCUGUCUACACCUUUUCUAUUCAUAUAAUGUCGAAAAUGUCUAUACACACCAUUAUAUACAUAGAAAUGUACAUUCCAGACUCUGACAUUGCUCGUUCUGAUGUUUCUUAAUUUCUUUAUUUAGAUUUAGGGUAUUUAUGUAUGUUUGUUUUGUAUUAGCACUGUUGGUGCUAGAAACAUCAGCAUUUCACUGCACCUGCAGAAACAUGUCUACACGACC